RNAcentral lists this ribosomal RNA (240 nucleotides) under uncultured bacterium. RNAcentral's name for it is "partial 16S ribosomal RNA". It matches the Rfam family "Bacterial small subunit ribosomal RNA", at positions 15 to 236 of the family's 1533-position model. The record is from RNAcentral.
GAUCCUGGCUCAGGACGAACGCUGGCGGCGUGCCUAACACAUGCAAGUCGAACGAGAAUCUUUGAACAGAUCUUUUCGGAGUGACGUUCAAAGAGGAAAGUGGCGGACGGGCGAGUAACGCAUGAGUAACCUGCCCAUAAGAGGGGGAUAAUCCAUGGAAACGUGGACUAAUACCGCAUAUUGUAGUUAAGUUGCAUGACUUGAUUAUGAAAGAUUAUUCGCUUAUGGAUGGACUCGCGU